Molecule: long non-coding RNA, 883 nt
Filed under: Dendronephthya gigantea
Lineage: Eukaryota; Metazoa; Cnidaria; Anthozoa; Malacalcyonacea; Nephtheidae
Description: uncharacterized LOC114544686, transcript variant X3
Source: RNAcentral
UUCGAUCUAUUCAAUAUGGUGGUCAAUCAAGAAAUGUUUUUGCUUGCAAAAAGAUCGUAAAUUGUUGGCGCUACAAGCUCGGAAAGAUUGUAAAUGAGAUCAGGCUUUUAUCAGCUCACAGAAUAACAAGAAGGAAUCAUCCAAACAAAUUUAUUUGUAACAUGGUGGAUAGCAAAGUCCCUCUUUGAAAACCUACUUCAGUCAUUUUACGAUUGUAAAUGAGAUCAGGCUUUUAUCAGCUCACAGAAUAACAAGAAGGAAGCAUCCAAACAAAUUCAUUUGUAAAAUGGUGGAUAACAAAGUCCCUCCUUGAAAACCUACUUCAGUCAUUUUACGAUUAAAAGUCCAGCGAGAAAUGAAGUGAAAGGCGAUUUGAAAACCACGAGAUUGGUGGCGAUCGAAGGUGGACAGCAAGAUCGAAGCUCAGCAAGAUUGAAGAUUGUUCGAAGAAGAAGGAGUUCGCCGUUGACUAAAAGGUUUAUCUGAACAGCUAGUUGUCAAGAUGAAUGCGAAGACUCGCCCGGCCAAAUUCAAAAUGGCGAUGCCAAAGAAAACCACCACCUGGACCGUUCGCAGACCUUUCUGGGCAAGAUUGUUGUGCUGUCUGGUCAAAGUUAAGUAUUUUACUUUGAUGUUUGUGUGCCUUCGGCUAAUUGUUGGCCAGAAAUGACAAAAAGCCAUAUACAAUAUGAAAUAUUCUGCGUACAAGGUUAUCUAAAAUUUCGAACUUAAUUCUGCCUGCAAUGAUGAUAAUUUUUUACUGAAAAUUUAUGUCAUGAGCAACUUCCGCACCUAUAGACUGAAGCAGAACUGAACAUUUUGUCAUUAACGUUUAUCUCAACAGCCAGUUAUCAAGACGAACGUCAAGAGAACAGUUGAAAUA